Molecule: ribosomal RNA, 433 nt
Filed under: uncultured bacterium
Lineage: Bacteria
Description: bacterial SSU rRNA
Rfam family: Bacterial small subunit ribosomal RNA
Source: RNAcentral
AACGAACGCUGGCGGCAGGCCUAACACAUGCAAGUCGAACGGGUGUAGCAAUACAUCAGUGGCAGACGGGUGAGUAACGCGUGGGAAUCUCCCCAGAGGUACGGAACAACUCAGGGAAACUUGAGCUAAUACCGUAUGUGCCCGAGAGGGCAAAGAUUCAUCGCCUUUGGAUGAGCCCGCGUUGGAUUAGCUAGUUGGUGGGGUAACGGCCUACCAAGGCUACGAUCCANAGCUGAUCUGAGAGGAUGAUCAGCCACACUGGGACUGAGACACGGCCCAGACUCCUACGGGAGGCAGCAGUGGGGAAUCUUGGACAAUGGGCGCAAGCCUGAUCCAGCCAUGCCGCGUGAGUGAAGAAGGCCUUAGGGUUGUAAAGCUCUUUACCCGGGAAGAUAAUGACGGUACCGGGAGAAUAAGCCCCGGCAAACUUCGU